AGGACUAACGCUGGCGGCGUGCCUAACACAUGCAAGUCGAACGAGGUAGCAAUACCUAGUGGCAGACGGGUGAGUAGCGCGUGGUCAACCUACCGUUGAGUGGGGGAUAACUAGCCGAAAGGUUAGCUAAUACCGCAUACGUCUCCGAGGGGCAUCCCUUGGCGAUAAAAGGAGCAAUCCGCUCGAUGACGGGACCGCGUCCCAUUAGCUAGUUGGUGGGGUAACGGCCUACCAAGGCGUCGAUGGGUAGCUGGUUUGAGAGAGCGACCAGCCACACUGGGACUGAGAUACGGCCCAGACUCCUACGGGAGGCAGCAGUGAGGAAUUUUCCGCAAUGGGCGAAAGCCUGACGGAGCGACGCCGCGUGUGGGAAGAAGGCCUUCGGGUCGUAAACCACUGUCGAAGGGGAAGAUAAUGACGGUACCCUUGGAGGAAGCCCCGGCUAACUACGUGCCAGCAGCCGC
Molecule: ribosomal RNA, 464 nt
Filed under: uncultured bacterium
Lineage: Bacteria
Description: SSU rRNA
Rfam family: Bacterial small subunit ribosomal RNA
Source: RNAcentral